AGAAAGAAUAAGGGCGUCCUCUGAGACCCAUAGGGCAACAUGGAAACUUGACAGCAGCUGCCUGCAGAAUGCACAUAAGGUUUUUGGCAUUGUGCUUGCACUGAAUAAAAGCAAGCAGCUCCAGCUUCUCCGGGCUGCUCUUUGGACACCAGAGCCAGGCAGUCACCUAGCUGCUCUUACAGUGCAUACCUGUGUCUGAAUGGUCAUUUCAUCCAUCUGCCAGCGUCUGCAGGACAGAGCCAGCAGGUGGUGCCCUGUGUGAGGAAUGCUGCAACAGAUUGUGACAAAACCCUCGAGAAUGAAAGUGAAGUGACUGCGCACCCCGCCGUUACCGAGUAAAGGUGCCACAGAGGAGACAAAUAUUUUCCCUGAGCCCUCUCUCCCAAUAUAUUGGAAAAAAUACAAGGGAUACACUACUGUUAUGGGACCCUGUCUUAGUCAAGUGGAAUUAGAAGGGAGCUCUUGACCUGCCCAGUGAUGCAAGAUCAACAAGACAAUCAGUAAGAAACGUACAAACAUUAAGAAGAGCCUAUUCAGAAAAGACAGUCUUCCAGUUACCUUAUAAAGGCAAGGAAGAACUGGUAGUUUGAAAUAAAAUAAUUUCAAAAAGUGCUGUACCCCCUGAGUAUUCUGCUGUAAUAAGGAUGAAAUCCCAUAAGUCAAUUUUUUCUCGGGAUUGUGAAGUUCACUGCACACAACCAGCCUUAUUUUACAUCUCUUUCUUUUAUUUCAACCAUCUGGGGACUGGGCAGAAGUCAUGGUCAGAGGGGCACAUAUGUAUUGCUUUGAUGAUGGGGGCAGAGAACAAACAGGAAGAACUGGGAAAUGAAAAUUGCUUUACUUCUUAUAUUCUGACUAGAAAGGCAACCCAAAUGGGAAUCAUAACA
Homo sapiens (human) is the source of this 887-nucleotide long non-coding RNA. RefSeq annotates it as ADAM7, ADAMDEC1 and ADAM28 antisense RNA 1. The transcript is spliced from 6 exons. The record is from RefSeq and is marked validated. NCBI's taxonomy places the organism in Eukaryota, Metazoa, Chordata, Mammalia, Primates, Hominidae.